This 504-nucleotide ribosomal RNA is filed under the name uncultured bacterium. RNAcentral's name for it is "partial 16S ribosomal RNA". It matches the Rfam family "Bacterial small subunit ribosomal RNA", at positions 30 to 523 of the family's 1533-position model. The record is from RNAcentral.
AUUGAACGCUGGCGGUAGGCCUAACACAUGCAAGUCGAACGGUAGCACAGAGAGCUUGCUCUCGGGUGACGAGUGGCGGACGGGUGAGUAACGUCUGGGAAACUGCCCGAUGGAGGGGGAUAACUACUGGAAACGGUAGCUAAUACCGCAUAACGUCGCAAGACCAAAGUGGGGGACCUUCGGGCCUCACACCAUCGGAUGUGCCCAGAUGGGAUUAGCUAGUAGGUGGGGUAAUGGCUCACCUAGGCGACGAUCCCUAGCUGGUCUGAGAGGAUGACCAUCCACACUGGAACUGAGAUACGGUCCAGCCUCCUACGGGAGGCAGCAGUGGGGAAUAUUGCACAAUGGGCGCAAGUCUGAUGCAGCCAUGCCGCGUGUAUGAAGAAGGCCUUCGGGUUGUAAAGUACUUUCAGCGGGGAGGAAGGCGGUGGAGUUAAUAACUUCACCGAUUGACGUUACCCGCAGAAGAAGCACCGGCUAACUCCGUGCCAGCAGCCGCCGCCG